This 754-nucleotide ribosomal RNA is filed under the name uncultured archaeon. RNAcentral describes it as "bacterial SSU rRNA". It matches the Rfam family "Archaeal small subunit ribosomal RNA", at positions 102 to 859 of the family's 1478-position model. The record is from RNAcentral.
AGUCAACAUGCCCAGGGGACGUGGAUAACCUCGGGAAACUGAGGAUAAACCGCGAUAGGUCAUCACUUCUGGAAUGGGUAAUGACUUAAAUCUAUAUGGCCCCUGGAUUGGACUGCGGCCGAUCAGGCUGUUGGUGAGGUAAUGGCCCACCAAACCUGUAACCGGUACGGGCUCUGAGAGGAGGAGCCCGGAGAUGGGCACUGAGACAAGGGCCCAGGCCCUAUGGGGCGCAGCAGGCGCGAAACCUCUGCAAUAGGCGAAAGCUUGACAGGGUUACUCUGAGUGAUUUCCGUUAAGGAGAUCUUUUGGCACCUCUAAAAAUGGUGCAGAGUAAGGGGUGGGCAAGUCUGGUGUCAGCCGCCGCGGUAAUACCAGCACCCCGAGUGGUCGGGACGUUUAUUGGGCCUAAAGCAUCCGUAGCCGGUUCUACAAGUCUUCCGUUAAAUCCACCUGCUUAACAGAUGGGCUGCGGAAGAUACUAUAGAGCUAGGAGGCGGGAGAGGCAAGCGGUACUCGAUGGGUAGGGGUAAAAUCCGUUGAUCCAUUGAAGACCACCAGUGGCGAAGGCGGCUUGCCAGAACGCGCUCGACGGUGAGGGAUGAAAGCUGGGGGAGCAAACUGGAUUAGAUACCCGGGUAGUCCCAGCUGUAAACGAUGCAGACUCGGUGAUGAGUUGGCUUAUUGCUAACUCAGUGCCGCAGGGAAGCCGUUAAGUUUGCCGCCUGGGGAGUACGGUCGCAAGACUGAAACUUAA